AAAGUUAUUGGUUCCACCUGCAGUGUUCCUGCUAUGACAUGUCUAAAUGUUUGCUGUCUUCUAGGAGCAACCAUACAACAACCAAAGCUAAUGCUUUCAUUGUGCUGUUAUGCACACUCCACCACCUCCCCAUCACCACCCAGAUUCAUCACUACAUCACUUCAACAACCUCAUCAGCCUUAUCAGUCUCAGCAGAAGUCAUCAGACACCACCACCAGUGUCUGGAUUACAUGGGGAGAUUUAUCUUGAUGCUGCUCAGGACUGAUGUCUCUCAAUUCAAAAUCUCCCUGUAGAGUCUAAGUGCCAAAGACUUUUGACAACACUUAAUCAUCAGUAUCAUCUGUAUAAUAAAUAAUUCUUUUUGCUUCA
This is a long non-coding RNA of Thunnus maccoyii (southern bluefin tuna), 369 nucleotides long. RefSeq lists it as uncharacterized. Lineage: Eukaryota; Metazoa; Chordata; Actinopteri; Scombriformes; Scombridae. The transcript is spliced from 2 exons. The record is from RefSeq and is a predicted model, not a curated record.